Nomia melanderi (Alkali bee) is the source of this 445-nucleotide non-coding RNA. NCBI's taxonomy places the organism in Eukaryota, Metazoa, Arthropoda, Insecta, Hymenoptera, Halictidae. The record is from RefSeq and is a predicted model, not a curated record.
GUCGUCGCGUUUUCACUCGGACGCUUUGGAGUGAAUCAUCGCUUCCGGCCGCAGUCGGCUACCAACAGUGUUAUUUUUCUUAACCAGCACCCGCAACACGGACACGUAACAGUCUGCAGAUCUUGCCACGAAAUAAAGAUUGUGAAUAGAAGCAAAAUGAAAUAAAACAACGAAAGGAGGGUUAGGUUCAGUGGGCAACAAACGCUGUUAUUAAAUCCAACCCGCAUCAGCGGGCAAUAAAUUGGGUCGCAUAUGCUGCUGUAUGAAUGGACAUCCUUGUUACGUAGAAGGAGCGUAAAAGGAGUGAGGGGCCCCACCCAUGGACACUGCAACUCUGCAGUCAUGGUUCAAGAUCCGCGUUCCGCUAGAAAUGUUUCGCGCGAAACGGAGACAGCGACGAUAAACAUUCAAGAAACAAGGAAGAGGAAAAACUAGCGUCGAAUUG